This is a long non-coding RNA of Oncorhynchus nerka (sockeye salmon), 703 nucleotides long. RefSeq lists it as uncharacterized. The transcript is spliced from 2 exons. The record is from RefSeq and is a predicted model, not a curated record. NCBI's taxonomy places the organism in Eukaryota, Metazoa, Chordata, Actinopteri, Salmoniformes, Salmonidae.
UAUUAAUCUAUCCAAUCAUAUCACCCAUUGUAUUUAAAGACCCCUCCUGUUAUACCAUGUUAUCCAAUCACGGGGCCGAAAGGAUUUGUAGACAAGGAAGUGAAACUAGCUACACAUUUUAGCCAACUACUUUUGAUUCUCAUUGUCAAUGCAAGGUGUGCAGUGGCAGAUAAUAGAUUCGGAUCAAUGCAGACCUGAGCCCUAGGACCAUGCCCCAGGACUACCUGACAUGAUGACUCCUUGCUGUCCCCAGUCCACCUGGCCAUGCUGCUGUUCCAGUUUCAACUGACCUGAGCCCUAGGACCAUGCCCCAGGACUACCUGACAUGACUCCUUGCUGUCCCCAGUCCACCUGCUGCUCCAGUUUCAACUUCCACCUGACUGUGCUGCUGCUCCAGUUUCAACUGUUCUGCCUUAUUAUUAUUCGACCAUGCUGGUCAUUUAUGAACAUUUGAACAUCUUGGCCAUGUUCUGUUAUAAUCUCCACCCGGCACAGGCAGAAGAGGACUGGCCACCCCACAUAGCCUGGUUCCUCUCUAGGUUUCUUCCUAGGUUUUGGCCUUUCUAGGGACUUUUUCAUAGCCACCGUGCUUCUACACCUGCAUUGCUUGCUGUUUGGGGUUUUAGGCUAGGUUUCUGUACAGCACUUUGAGAUAUCAGCUGAUGUACGAAGGGCUAUAUAAAUAAAUUUGAUUUGAUGUGCA